GACGAACGCUGUCGGCGUGCUUAACACAUGCAAGUCGAACGGAAAGGCCCUGCUUUUGUGGGGUGCUCGAGUGGCGAACGGGUGAGUAACACGUGAGUAACCUGCCCUUGACUUUGGGAUAACUUCAGGAAACUGGGGCUAAUACCGGAUAGGAGCUCCUGCUGCAUGGUGGGGGUUGGAAAGUUUCGGCGGUUGGGGAUGGACUCGCGGCUUAUCAGCUUGUUGGUGGGGUAGUGGCUUACCAAGGCUUUGACGGGUAGCCGGCCUGAGAGGGUGACCGGCCACAUUGGGACUGAGAUACGGCCCAGACUCCUACGGGAGGCAGCAGUGGGGAAUAUUGCACAAUGGGCGGAAGCCUGAUGCAGCAACGCCGCGUGCGGGAUGACGGCCCUCGGGUUGUAAACCGCUUUCGCCUGUGACGAAGCGUGAGUGACGGUAAUGGGUAAAGAAGCACCGGCUAACUACGUGCCAGCAGCCGCGGUGAUACGUAGGGUGCGAGCGUUGUCCGGAUUUAUUGGGCGUAAAGGGCUCGUAGGUGGUUGAUCGCGUCGGAAGUGUAAUCUUGGGGCUUAACCCUGAGCGUGCUUUCGAUACGGGUUGACUUGAGGAAGGUAGGGGAGAAUGGAAUUCCUGGUGGAGCGGUGGAAUGCGCAGAUAUCAGGAGGAACACCAGUGGCGAAGGCGGUUCUCUGGGCCUUUCCUGACGCUGAGGAGCGAAAGCGUGGGGAGCGAACAGGCUUAGAUACCCUGGUAGUCCACGCUGUAAACGGUGGGUACUAGGUGUGGGGUCCAUUCCACGGGUUCCGUGCCGUAGCUAACGCUUUAAGUACCCCGCCUGGGGAGUACGGCCGCAAGGCUAAAACUCAAAGGAAUUGACGGGGCCCCGCACAAGCGGCGGAGCAUGCGGAUUAAUUCGAUGCAACGCGUAGAACCUUACCUGGGUUUGACAUGGAUCGGGAGUGCUCAGAGAUGGGUGUGCCUCUUUUGGGGUCGGUUCACAGGUGGUGCAUGGCUGUCGUCAGCUCGUGUCGUGGGAUGUUGGGUUAAGUCCCGCAACGAGCGCAACCCUUGUUCACUGUUGCCAGCACGUUAUGGUGGGGACUCAGUGGAGACCGCCGGGGUCAACUCGGAGGAAGGUGGGGAUGACGUCAAGUCAUCAUGCCCCUUAUGUCCAGGGCUUCACGCAUGCUACAAUGGCUGGUACAGAGAGUGGCGAGCCUGUGAGGGUGAGCGAAUCUCGGAAAGCCGGUCUCAGUUCGGAUUGGGGUCUGCAACUCGACCUCAUGAAGUCGGAGUCGCUAGUAAUCGCAGAUCAGCAACGCUGCGGUGAAUACGUUCCCGGGGCU
Molecule: ribosomal RNA, 1346 nt
Filed under: uncultured bacterium
Lineage: Bacteria
Description: partial 16S ribosomal RNA
Rfam family: Bacterial small subunit ribosomal RNA
Source: RNAcentral